AGAGAGAGAGAGAGAGAGAGUUCUGCCUGUUUAGUAGAUGAGCUGUCAGUUUGAGGAGUGAGCUUAGCUUGGGCUUGUGUUGGAAGUGGGAAUAAGAUUGUGGGUAAAAUGGCGUCUUUGACCCUAGCCUAUGAACUGCGACGCAAGGUAAGGCGACCGUUAAGGUGCGUCUGAAUCUGAUGUCGUCGUCCCAGUUGGAGUGAUCAUUUAAUUACCCACGAUCUCCACGUGGCAAUUUGAUCGCCUAUGGCUUUCCAUCUAGGACAAGUGGAUUAUGCACUUAUUUUCUAUUUUUAUGUUAUUUUCUACUUGACGUGAUAUUAAGUUGU
Molecule: unclassified non-coding RNA, 329 nt
Filed under: Hevea brasiliensis (rubber tree)
Lineage: Eukaryota; Viridiplantae; Streptophyta; Magnoliopsida; Malpighiales; Euphorbiaceae
Source: RNAcentral